AAUAGAAGAGGGUGCAUAGCCUUUCACACCACCUGCUUGCCUUCUUCUUUUCCUCUUGUGGGGAUUGCCACCCUCUCCAUCACCCAUCACAAGCGCACACCCCUUCUAAAAGAGGCGCUCGAAGAUGCUGAAAGGAAACCCAAGGUACCUGUAUACUUUUACAAAUUUCUGGAGCCCAAGGUGGGAACGCUGGUGAGUUUCUUUCCUUCCCCCCUCCCUCCCCUCUCCGGCCCCGCAGCAACUUGGCACCCAGAAGCGGUGGGCGCUUGGCCUCGCAGAGCUUUCGGAGACGUCCGAGGAGUCCGCUAGAAGACUUCACCGAUCAUGGUCCCGGAUCCCCCACUCCAGGCCCUGAGAAGGCUUCGGGCGACGGCAGGUGGACGGAUCCAGCAAGCGGGAGGCGCAAGAACUGCGCAACAAGGUCACGACCGCGAGGCUGCAGACCCGGGCUGCGGCGCGCGCGGGACCGGGCGCCGCCCUCUGGCCCCGGAGCUGACCCAGCCGCCGAGCCGGUCUUCGCCACUGGCCUGGCACGACCCGAGGGGAAUGAAGGGGCGACCCCGCAGAAACAACCCUUGCUUUAAAGGUGGAAGCUGAAACCUGCGGGGCUCCCUGGCAAGCUGUCCUGGAAGAUCAGCCGCACGGUACUACUGAACUUGAGAAGGGGCUCUCAGCUCUGCCCACCCCUCUUCCUGUGGCGACCUGCGGGAGACUUUUAUCUGCUCCCCUCUGUGUCUUCGUGCCCCUGGGAACUUGGCCCAGUCGGCCUAGUUCUCCAUAUAAAUUAGUGGUUCCAUCAAUUCAGCACCCUCUUCUCAGGCGGACUUCCAGGGUGUCUUGUAAGACAUUACUAGACAUUGAAAAAGCUCGAUGCUUUUUUUUUUUCUUCUUCUUUCUGAGGGAGUUUUGUGUGAAAGUAAAAUCUUCUAGGCGUUAAAAACCAAAUCAAACCACAAAGCCAAAAAACAAAACAUGCUGCCUUCACGUGAGUGGAUUGUGAAGUCAAUCCAAGCCUUCCUUGGGCCAGCCUUUGCUCAGAUAGUCGGGUUCCUGAAUCUUCCAGGAAAAUAGAGCCCCUUCAGACACUUGGGGGGGGGGGUAAUAAGACUACAAUAUAUUUCCAUGCUUAAAACAUUUCUUUGCAGAAGCAAGAUUUCCUAAAAGUGGUCUGCCAGUGAUGCAUGGAAAAGCAAACCAGCUUACAGAGAGGGGCCUCUGAAGAGGAAGGGGGAGAGGCAGGACCCAGCCCCAAUUACAAACCGCAGUUUCCAACUGUUGAACCACAGCACUGCUACAGUGGGACUGGUGGGAUGUCCUGACUGACCCUGGAGCUGACAGGUUGCAGACCUCUGGGGCUCUUUUUCACGGUUUGCUGGAAGUGCUGGACUUCUCAGGGUAGCCCUUCCCAACCGCAGAGUUAAGCCCCCCUUUUGUGUUUUGUGGGCAUAUGUUUGGACCCUGCAUCAAGCCUUGCUCCUCACACACUUCAGGUGGAUAAGCUGUUGUUCUUCAGCUGACCAUGCGUGCACCCAGGGUGGGAAUGUGGGUGCCAUCACAGACGAAGGUGUGUGUUUGUGCCAGUUUGUUGUCUGACACCCCACCCCUCGUCCCUGCCAGCCCCACCGCUAAGAAAUGGACUUUAACACAGCGCUCCAGAAACUCUCCUAGGAGUUUCUUCCUGGGAGAAGACACCACUGAAAUUCUUUUGCAACCAAGGUUUAUGUGUUUUGUCUAAAGAACUCAAGAGAAGAGUUGCAAAGAUUGCGAGCUGUGCAAUGUCUCAGGUCAAGAGAACUUACUCAGGUCCUAGACACUCAAAACUCUGAAGGGGAAAUCACCAAGAGUAUUUUGCUCAGAAAGUACAGCUUUCCAGCUUCAUGAGAAUAAGGACUGCUUUCUGUACACCUCAAAUCAUUCAAACAACACAACAAGUCUCAACUGCCCCCUUUCACAAACAAAACACACACCCUCAAGUAUUUCUGGUCCUCUUGUGGUUACCAAACUAUUUUGUAGCACAUUAAUGGUGAUCCCCACUUUUGCAAAGUUUCUUGCUCUUUACCCUGAUAAGUUGCACUUGUUCUGGGUAGAACACAACCUUGCCUUUGAGCCCUUGACCAUGCUUUCAACCAUUUUAAAGGUUACAUUUUAGUCUUAAGGGAUAAAAAUGUUCCUUUCAUCCUGUACACAGAGUGCCAGGGCCCAAAGUGGGCAAGUCUGUAGGAAACCCAAUCUCUUGGCUUUGCUAAGAUCAGAUGGACAGUUUCAACAUGCCAGUUCUUGUCUGCUAAAACGCCAGGGCAAGGUACUCAGGCCACUGCGGACAGACGGAUCAUCUGUUUCUCUGACUCUAGCGCUGGGCAGGCUGAGCACAUCUGCCAAUUUUAAGGAAGAGAAAUCGGCUCAGGCCAGAAAGAGCAGGAGAACCCCUUUUUCCAUUAGGGCAACUUCAUUAAGCAAGAGCUAGAUCUUCACAAAAGGGGACACAUUUUGCUUAAGCCUGUUCUUUCUUGGGAAGCAUGGAGAGACCAGGCCCACCAAUAUCCUCAGUAAAAACUACCAGAAAUGUGCAGUGCUCUAGGAUGUCGGCUUGGGAGUCAUUGAAGGCCAGACUGUUACAGUUAAUCUCGCCUCUUUUAGUUUCCAUUGCUCUCUUUCUCCUUUGGUCUCUUUCCUUCUUGGUGUUCCCUACCUCCUGUAGUUAUGAGUUAAUAAAAACAUGUCCCUAUUUUUAAAAAGAUCCAUAAAGUUGAUGCUAAAUUUGAGAGUUAAUGUUGCAACUAAACUCUCCUGGAGCCACAUCUUUUCUGUCUGUAAUGCCAGCAACCAUUUGUCCUUAAAAACUUACUAUAAUGAUUCUUUCAAGGCCUUUGAGAAAAUGUAAUAAACAACUAAUUGGAAAAAAAAGUAAAACCCAACUCUCACUUAUUUUACUUUCUCAGAUCAAGGAAACGGACUUCAAGCAAAAUAAUCAACUUUAUGUAGUUUAUUUUUAAACUCCUCUAUUUUCAGUAGCUCAUUUUCUUCCUUAACUGAGUCACACCGCUUUGUUCGAGUUCACAUCUACCUCUCCCCACGUGUCCCCACUAACCGACUCAGUGAUUCGCACCCAGCGAGACCGAAGGAGUGGAAACCGUCCUGAAAGGAGCCCUGCCGGCAUUUGGUCCCAGGGUAAAGCGCUCCAUUUCAGAAGUUCUGAGAAAAGUGUCUUCUUCCGAAACUACCAGUGGAGCAAAUCAUUUACCUAAUUCAUUCAAGAGCCUCCAUAGGAAGGACUUUGGAGCCUGAUGAUCCUCAUAAUUCGGUACUAAUGAAAACCCCUUUGGUCCUUCGCUUUCGGCCCCGCGAGAGACGGCAUCCGCUCCCAGGACGAAGAAGAGCGGGCCUGGCUCGCGGCGGCCCCUCCCCAUCUAACCCCAGAUGGCACAACCCGAGAGCACAGCGACGACGGCGGCGACUCCAGACGCCGCCCGUGCCACCGUCCUAUCCGCCACUGUGCCACUCUCGCCCCCUCUCCUCCAGCGCGGGCCCCUCCCGCUUUCCCUUCCUUCUCACCCUCCCCAGGGCUUUUUAUGGGGGUAAGAGGUAAAUUGGGAAUAUUUCCUCUGUCGCGAAACAUUCUCCUUCCUCAGCCAUCUCCCACUCGGGCGGAUUGGAAUUAAAAUCCGGUAAUU
Molecule: long non-coding RNA, 3671 nt
Filed under: Sus scrofa (pig)
Lineage: Eukaryota; Metazoa; Chordata; Mammalia; Artiodactyla; Suidae
Description: lncRNA (ENSSSCG00025058721.1)
Source: RNAcentral